GGUGACUUAGUCAAACUAUAUAUUUUCUAUGAAUAACAAAAGAAUAGAAUAAAAAAAGUCCGAAAAUACGCAAAAACCCUUCUCUCUCUUUCCUUUCCUCUGAUUUCUCUAGAACUUUCAUCAAAGAAAAUCAAUUCCGGUGGCCGGUGGCGGCGCCGCCGGUCACCAACCCCUUUUAUCUUUUGUUUUUUGUUGUAGAUACUUUCGCUCGGCAAAUCUUUUUUAUCCCGGUUAGCGGAUCUAGUCUUCCCAGUGGCGACUUUUGUGGUGUAUCCGAUUUCAGUCGAAGCAAAGUUUCAAGGACGUUUCCAUGUUCUUCGAAAGGGAUCGGUGUAAAUACCGUAAUCCUUAUCUUUCGCAGUUUGUCAGCAAAAUCCCGUUUGCUUAAGAAGACUUUCCUCUUCUCUCUCGGAUAGCACUUUCUCCUUUCCAAAAGGAAUCAAUCUUUACUCUCUUAUGUUGGAGCCGCUAAAUCGGUUUAUGGGUAAAGUAUCCUAGAUGGAAAGGAAUAUGUGAUGUUGGAUUGAUUUUGGUUGGUUCUGAUGGAGAUCUAGAUGAAUUAGCAUGUUCCCUAUAUCGAAGGUGGUCCGGUAAAAUAUUCUAUUAGAUCAACUGAGUAUUCCCAGGUUUAUUAUCCGGCGGCGUUGAUGGUGGUUCUAACUAAAGUGACGGUUGAACGAAAGAUAAGAAGCGAAGGAGUUUCAAAUAGUUCCCGGAGACAAAGCUCAGGAAGACGGCGGUUCGCCGGUGAGGUUGCGUCUCAGAUUUCUCAUCCCACACGUGGUGUUCAGGGACACGUGUCAUCCUAUUUUGGCUAUAAUCUCAUGUAAACACAGAAAAGGACGCGUGUUGAAGACUUACUUCGUAGAGACGCGUGUAAUAACUCGAAGGAAAUAUUGGGUCAAUAAAUUGGGUCUAAUAUUAUUGGGUUUAUGGUUUGGUCGAGUUUGUAUUAAUGAGAAUUGGGAUGUAUGUAACUCCUUUGUAGUAUGCCCAUUUGGGCCUUUUUUUUUUUUUUUUUUUUUUUUACGUUNNNNNNNNNNNNNNNNNNNNNNNNNNNNNNNNNNNNNNNNNNNNNGCUUUUUUUUUUUUUUUUUUUUUACGCUUUGUCGCCAGUUCAUAAGAAAGAGUAACAUAGUCGAAACAGACAGAGUUUGGUGGAACCAACAGGCCCCAAACUCCAAAAUUAAAAAAAACCCAAAACUCAACAUCAUCUCCCUUGCUCACAUCCAUCUCCGUUGGGAAUGAAAUGAAAUGGAUCAGAGAAGAUGAAAACCAGACGCACGCUUUCCAUUAGUACUCAUUAACCGUGCCAACAGCAUCUGCAUGAAUCAUAGGAAGAAACCAAUAAGGGCCACCUUUCUCAAUAUACGAAGCAUAGCGAUGAUCUCUUGUGACACUACGAGCGAUGGCAUCGGCGCACCGGUUGACAAAAAAAAAGAAUAAAAAAUGUUCUACUGUCACACAAAUUGUUGGCC
RNAcentral lists this long non-coding RNA (1478 nucleotides) under Brassica napus (rape). RNAcentral describes it as "long non-coding RNA (BNAP_LNC027039)". Lineage: Eukaryota; Viridiplantae; Streptophyta; Magnoliopsida; Brassicales; Brassicaceae. The record is from RNAcentral.